GGUGCCCCCAGGCGGCCCGCGGCCCCGUCCGGCCCGCCGCUCUCUUCCAUGGUCGAGGCCGGCUCGUCGCACCUCAUUCUCCGUGCAGCGCCUGUGCACCGAGGGAGACCGGGGAUGCCAAGAGAAGCACCACAUAGUCCCUGCCCUCUGGAAGCCUGCCAUCUGUGGGAGAGAUGCUUGAAGAUUUUGACACCCAUGGCAAAGCAGGUCUCUUCUGCGGAGGUGCGCAUCGGGCCCAUGAGACUGACGCAGGAUCCUAUCCAGGUUUUGCUGAUCUUUGCAAAGGAAGACAGUCAGAGUGAUGGGUUCUGGUGGGCCUGUGACAGAGCCGGCUACAGGUGCAAUAUUGCUCGGACUCCAGAGUCAGCCCUGGAAUGCUUUCUAGAUAAACAUCAUGAAAUUAUUGUCAUCGAUCACAGACAAACUCGAAACUUCGAUGCGGAAGCAGUGUGCAGGUCGAUCCGGGCCACAAAUCCCUCCGAGCACACGGUGAUCCUCGCAGUGGUUUCACAAGCAUCAGGCGACUGUGAAGAGGCCUCAGUCCUCCCUCUUCUGCACGCAGGCUUCAACAGGAGAUUUAUGGAGAAUAACAGCAUAAUUGCUUGCUAUAAUGAACUGAUCCAAAUAGAACAUGGGGAAGUUCGCUCACAGUUCAAGUUAAGGGCCUGUAAUUCAGUGUUUACAGCAUUAGACCACUGUCAUGAAGCCAUAGAAAUAACAAGUGAUGACCACGUGAUCCAGUAUGUCAACCCAGCCCUCGAAAGGAUGAUGGGCUACCCCAAGGGCGAGCUCCUGGGGAAAGAACUCGCUGAGCUCCCCAAAAGCGAUAAGAACCGGGCAGACCUUCUCGACACCAUCAACACCUGCAUCAAGAAGGGCAAGGAGUGGCAGGGGGUUUACUAUGCCAGACGGAAAUCGGGGGACAGCAUCCAACAGCAUGUGAAGAUCACUCCAGUGAUUGGCCAAGGAGGGAAAAUUAGGCAUUUUGUCUCCCUCAAGAAACUGUGUUGUACCACCGACAGUAAUAAGCAGAUUCACAAGAUUCAUCGUGAUUCAGGAGACAAUUCUCAGACAGAGUCACUUUCAUUCAGAUACAAGAACAGGAGGAAAGAGUCCAUUGAUGUGAAGUCAAUAUCAUCUCGAGGCAGUGAUGCACCAAGUCUACAGAAUCGUCGCUACCCAUCCAUGGCGAGGAUUCAUUCCAUGACUAUCGAGGCUCCCAUCACAAAGGUUAUAAAUAUAAUCAAUGCAGCCCAAGAAAAUAGUCCUGUCACAGUAGCAGAAGCCUUGGACAGAGUUUUAGAAAUUUUACGGACCACAGAACUAUACUCCCCACAGCUGGGUACCAAAGAUGAAGACCCUCACACCAGUGACCUCGUGGGAGGCCUGAUGACUGAUGGCUUAAGAAGGUUGUCAGGAAAUGAGUAUGUGUUCACUAAGAAUGUGCACCAGAGUCACAGUCACCUUGCGAUGCCAAUAACCAUCAAUGACGUCCCUCCUUCUAUUGCUCAAUUACUUGAUAAUGAGGAAAGCUGGGAGUUCAACAUCUUUGAACUGGAAUCUGUGACACAUAAAAGGCCAUUGGUUUACCUGGGAUUAAAGAUCUUUUCCCGGUUCGGAGUAUGUGAGUUUUUACACUGUUCUGAAACUACUCUGCGGGCCUGGCUGCAAGUGAUUGAAGCCAACUACCACUCCUCCAACGCUUACCACAACUCCACCCACGCCGCGGACGUGCUGCACGCCACCGCCUUCUUCCUCGGAAAGGAGAGAGUAAAGGGAAGCCUCGAUCAGCUAGACGAGGUGGCUGCUCUGAUUGCUGCUACAGUCCACGACGUGGAUCACCCGGGAAGGACCAAUUCUUUCCUGUGCAAUGCAGGCAGUGAACUCGCCGUGCUCUAUAAUGACACCGCUGUCUUGGAGAGUCACCACACAGCCUUGGCCUUCCAGCUCACGGUCAAGGACAGCAAAUGCAACAUUUUCAAGAAUAUUGACAGGAACCAUUAUCGAACACUGCGCCAGGCUAUUAUUGACAUGGUUUUAGCAACAGAAAUGACAAAACACUUCGAACAUGUGAACAAAUUUGUGAACAGCAUCAACAAGCCAAUGGGAGCUGAGAUUGAAGGCAGCGACUGUGAACGCAACCCUAUUGGGAAGAACUUUCCUGAAAAUCAAAUCCUGAUCAAGCGCAUGAUGAUUAAAUGUGCUGACGUGGCCAACCCAUGCCGCCCCCUGGACCUGUGCAUCGAAUGGGCUGGGAGGAUCUCUGAGGAGUACUUUGCACAGACUGAUGAAGAGAAGAGACAGGGGCUACCUGUGGUGAUGCCAGUGUUUGACCGGAAUACCUGUAGCAUCCCCAAGUCCCAGAUCUCCUUCAUUGACUACUUCAUAACAGACAUGUUUGAUGCUUGGGAUGCCUUUGCCCACCUGCCAGCCCUGAUGCAACAUUUGGCCGAUAACUACAAACACUGGAAGACAUUAGAUGACCUAAAGUGCAAAAGUCUGAGGCUUCCAACUGACAGCUAAAGCUAAGACAGAGAAGGGGACCUCUUGAUUUACAGAGGACUCUGUGAAUCACAGUAAUGUAAAAAAGAGGCUUUCCUUUAUAAUGAAAAUGACAGGGGUAGAUUAAGGAGCUAAUGUUUAAUAUCUGACCUUGAAUCAUUCAAGUUCCCAAAGUUCAGGUUUAGAAAAUUAUGUUCCAUGCAGAAAAAUGUCCUUUUGAACAAUCAGUGACAGAACAAACACACGGCAAAAGGUUCUGUCCUGCUGUCGUCAAGCCAUGGAGCUGAUUCACUGUAACAAGCAGCAAAGACCUGGUGCCCGUGAGCCCAGCUCCAUGGCUGACGACCAUGUAGCUCAGCUAGGGUUUAGCUCAUCUUUUACCAUGAAAGUCACCAUCACUGUUUAGCUUGAUUUUUUAACUCCAGAGCGUCAAUCUGACAAAUUUAUAAGAGUAUCAUAAUAUCUAAGGGAAAAAAACACGCAUAAAGUGAGCAAAACAACCAGGACCAAAUUACUGAUAAACUAGUUAACUUCAGAGCCUCCAUGGCUAGGUGGCUCUUCAAAUCGAUGGUGUGACACCCAAGUUAAAACACAGCCGUGGUCUGGUGAGUGCCUUCGCUAGACUGGUAUCAGCAGCCUGUGUAGCCCUCUUUCCUACAAAAGGGAUUCAUCUUAAUAGAAGGCCAUCCAUGGUGGGGAAGAGAGUGAGAUCUUGUUUCAGGGGAAUCCAUGAGCUUUUCCCUUACUUCUGGUUUAGAGAGGCAGUCACAAGGCACUAUAAUGAGUAUUAUAUAAAAGCCAUUAAUCUGAAUGCCCUUGGACAAGCUUUUUUUUAAAAAAAAUUUAUAUACAUUUGCCGUUUAAAAUUUUUAUUAAAGCAAUCUAAAUUUUCUGGGUGUAAGUCCAUGGAGUAUGUUGUGCUGUGUACCAUCUAGAUGUAUAUAUCUGGGGAGGGUAUAGAUGAAGUUUCAAGGUUCAGAUAUUUUUAACCUAUCUAUAUUUAAGAUCAUGCCAUUUUGCUUUAAUGAUGUAAAAAAAAGAUCGCAAGAUAUGUGUAAAUAUAUCAAAAUACGUAUAUGAGGAAGCAGUAAAUACUAUUUUAAGCUAUUAAUUGUAUGCUAAAAGCUUCUAAAGCACAAGUGCAUAUUUUUAUACAGCUGUUUUCACAACUUUCUGUGAUCUACAUGAAGUCAGACUUGAGGUUUUCCCUUCUCUUUUACCAACCCUUCUCUCUGUAUUAUAAAUAUUAGAAACUCAGUAAACAAAAUCUUUGGUUUUUUCAAAUUCUCUGUACUCCAGGCUGCAUUUCUAAGAGGUAUAAAUAGAGAUUAACUGAAUCAGUAGUUGCUUUUUUCAGAUGAAAAUCGGAAUGCAGAACACUUGGAACUAGUACAUGGGAAGAAAAAAAAUGACUUAUCACUACAUAAUGUGCCAAUGUUUUUUUCUAUGUUUUGUACCAAAAAAUGGAAACAUACAUGACAAUUCCAUGCAAAGAAAUGUAUCUAAAUUACUUUUGUUAGAUGGUGAAAGGACUUGCCUGAUCAGCAUAGCAGCUCGCUUUGUACUGUGAUGCUGCGCUAUGUAAAUGUGAUGAAAAUGUUUGUUUUCGUGAAGUACUUGUAACUAAAUUCCUACAGCCAUUUUUCAUUCCCAACAGCUGUUUUUAUUUUACCUCUUGGGCCUAAGUUUUUCGUAAUUUCAAAAUGUUGAUUUAGUGUUCUUUAUGUCAUGAGUCACACACUUUGUUUUCAGAAUACAUUAAAUUCAUGAUGUCAGAAUCUCAUUUUAAGGAGCUAAAUAAUUUGCCCAGGCUGCAGAAGCUUGCUUGAGAUGACAGUCUUUUCCUGACCAUCUUGCUUUUGGUUCCAUUUGGUAAGUGACAUUCGUCAGAUGUCUGACAUUUUCCUAUAUGAAUGUUAAAGCUUACUCACUCUGAUGUGAAAUUAAUUUCGUAGUAAGACUGCCAGCAUAGCUCUGCUUUAGCAUAGCUCUGCUCGGGUCUUUAUCAGUAUAAUCUUCUAUGGUGUUAUCUUCUACUGAGUUGCUAACUAAACAGUGCAUUCCUCCAGUUUAUCAAAUGGGUAUAGUCUCCCAUAGUGAGUUGUUUACUAAAAUAUUCUGUAUUGAGGGGACCCAUAUUAAUGACAGAGAAGUCAGUUAUAAAACACUGUUAUCUGGACCACAAUAACUAACUAUAAUUUAUUCUUUACUUCCAAUUUAAGAUUUUAGAAUUUGCUUGCCUUCAGAGUCAGGUCUUGGGGGCAAAAGAACAAGCCUCAUCUGCUCAAGCAGAACUCACUCACCUUGAGAAAGAUAACUGGAAAGGAUGAUAGAAAGUUCCCAAAAUUUAAGCUAUUGAUUGUGUUAUGUGAAUAAAGUACAGAAUGAGGUAAUAAGGGUAUUAUUGUUAAAUAAAAAUUACAAGGUCUGCCACAUAGUAUCACUUCUGAUGUUGCAAAUACAAUAGCACUGAAAGCUAACCUAGGGAAAUGGAAAAAAAUGUACAUAAUAUAUAUCAACCUCAGUUAUAGCUGUAUUCUUCUAAAAGUUCAACUUGUAACUACUGAGCAGCCAUCAAGUCUGAGUCCCUGCUGGAUUCUACCAUCUUAAUGGUUUCUGCUUCCCUGAAUGCACUAAGGUCAGAGAUGGAAGAAAACAGUGAGUCUCAUGAAUGGGUUGGAGGCUUCCAGACAUUAAUAACAGAGCCACCAAUCCAAUGUCUGAAUUCCAAACAA
This is a non-coding RNA of Vicugna pacos (alpaca), 5237 nucleotides long. Lineage: Eukaryota; Metazoa; Chordata; Mammalia; Artiodactyla; Camelidae. The record is from RefSeq and is a predicted model, not a curated record.